GAUGAAGAACGCAGCGAAACGCGAUAAGUAAUGUGAAUUGCAGAAUUCAGUGAAUCAUCGUAUCUUUGAACGCACCUUGCGCUCUUUGGUAUUCCGAAGAGCAUGCCUGUUUGAGUGUCAUGAAAAUAUCAACCUUGACUUGGGUUUUGUGCUCUAGUCUCGGCUUGGAAUUGGGUGCUUGCCGCUUUUACGAGCGGCUCACCUUAAAUGUAUUAGCUGGAUCUGUCUUUGAGACUUGGUUUGACUUGGCGUAAUAAGUAUUUCGCUAAGGACAUUCUUCGGAGUGGCCUCGUUUCUAGGACGCUUGUCCGCUUUCCAAUACAAGUUCCACCUCGUGGACAUGACUUUUUAUUAUCUGGCCUCAAAUCAGGUAGGACUACCCGCUGAACUUAAGCAUAUCAAUAAGCGGAGGA
RNAcentral lists this unclassified non-coding RNA (413 nucleotides) under soil metagenome. RNAcentral's name for it is "partial contains 5.8S ribosomal RNA, internal transcribed spacer 2, and large subunit ribosomal RNA". The stretch from base 1 to 120 matches the Rfam family "5.8S ribosomal RNA", at positions 35 to 154 of the family's 154-position model. The record is from RNAcentral.